AUGUGUUUGUGGAGAGCUUAUGAUGACAGUUUUAUAAUAAGACUUUUAGAUUUACAUAUUAUCCCAGUGAAGGCAAAUUACUCUUCCACAACACAUGAGUAGUUACACUCAGCAGAAAGAUAACACGGCAAUCUAUUCCCUUUCAAAUGUUAAGGAAAGAAUAAUUAGAUAUAAAUAUGUUGAUAAGCAGUUUAAAAGGUGAUAUUAUUCAUCUUUCAUGAUCUCACUGCUAUGCUCUGCAUUUCAAAUAAAGCAAAUGUGAGACCUGAAGUCACUGUGCUACAGAAACUAAUUCUAGUACCACUAUACCAGCUUCCUAAGCAAUGAUAACCUGUUGGGAACCAAAGUUGUAUCUGAUUUGGCCUUUGAACAGCUGUUGAAGGGAUGGCAUUGACACGUCUGCCUUGAAGAAUGAAUGGGACUUUAACUAAAUGAAAGUAACAGUGGGAGCCACAGUGCUCUGGAAAGAAUAGUUCAAAAGGAGAGGUGGAAGUUUCCUUCAUACUGUGCACCAAAUUCCAAGUUCCCAAGACUGGUCCAGUCUAUUAGUGAGGAAGAAAUUAUAGCUGCAUUACCUGCAUAUGAACUGCAUUACCUGCAUUUGAACCCCUUACAGUCUUAAAGUAAAUCCUUCCUUUUGAGAGGCCUCUACAGCUACCGUGGAGUCACACUGGAUAACUAAAAUAUCAAAAAUCAUGCAAUAACUAAUGAUAAUAUGUGUGGUCUAAAGGCCUUCAUUUCUGAAUGCAUGAGAGUACAAAGCAGAAGUUUCCAAGCAGACAGAGGAAUGCCAUGGUGAGGUGGAGGAAAGAGAAAGAAAAGAACAUGGUCAAGACUCUGCAUUUUCACUGCAGUCCUACUUAUCUCAAAACACUUUUGCUUUAGAAGCAGUUCCCUCAAAAACUUGAAUUGCAAGACAUGCAUGGAAGUUUUAUAAACCUACCAUAUUCAGAUCCCUAAAAGUCACAGUAAAGAUGGAAAUAAGUUAUUUUGUCUUUCAAGUGAAGUUUGAUUUUCUGUGUGUGUAGGAAAGGCAACAAACUGCCAUUUAGCUAAUAAACCAAUGCAGGAACUAAAGAGAGAAACA
This 1087-nucleotide long non-coding RNA is filed under the name Struthio camelus australis. RNAcentral describes it as "lncRNA (ENSSCUG00000017001.1)". The record is from RNAcentral. Lineage: Eukaryota; Metazoa; Chordata; Aves; Struthioniformes; Struthionidae.